UGAGGAAUAUUGGUCAAUGGGGGCAACCCUGAACCAGCCAAGUCGCGUGAAGGAUGAAGGUCUUAUGGAUUGUAAACUUCUUUUAUACAGGAAUAAAUUGGGGGACGUGUCCCCUUUUGCAUGUACUGUAUGAAUAAGGAUCGGCUAACUCCGUGCCAGCAGCCGCGGUAAUACGGAGGAUCCGAGCGUUAUCCGGAGUUCUUGGGUUUAAAGGGUGCGCAGGCGGGAUGUUAAGUCGGCGGUGAAAUUUUGCAGCUCAACUGUAAAAGUGCCUUCGAUACUGGCCUCCGUGAAUGUGGAUGAAGUAGGCGGAAUUUGUGGUGUAGCGGUGAAAUGCUUAGAUAUCACGAGGAACUCCGAUUGCGCAGGCAGCUUACUAAGCCACAACUGACGCUCAUGCACGAAGGCGUGGGGAUCAAACA
RNAcentral lists this ribosomal RNA (422 nucleotides) under uncultured bacterium. RNAcentral describes it as "bacterial SSU rRNA". It matches the Rfam family "Bacterial small subunit ribosomal RNA", at positions 355 to 774 of the family's 1533-position model. The record is from RNAcentral.